AGUAAAGUAAGCUAAUAAAGCUGUUAGGCUCAUGCCCUACUUAUGUCGGUUAACUCCUUCCUUUACUA
This 68-nucleotide transfer RNA is filed under the name Notolychnus valdiviae. RNAcentral's name for it is "tRNA-Met". Lineage: Eukaryota; Metazoa; Chordata; Actinopteri; Myctophiformes; Myctophidae. The record is from RNAcentral.